CCUUUAUAUUGGCUCCCCAUGCAUAUCCUAUGUAAUUAACUACGUAUAAUAUAUGAUUAUCGCCGCGUCAAAUUAAUUGAAAAUUACUUAUUGUUAUCAAAAGGACGCUAAGUCUUAAUUAUCAUGAACAAGUCAAACUAGAAUAAGGGGCAAAGCAGUAAGGUUUAAGAUGGAAUGGACAAGUUCAAUUUGCCUAGAAGCAACGCACAAUUUUCUUCUUAUAAUCAUCGGAUAUCUGAAAUUCACUAAUACCACUAUUUUAAAUUUCGUAUCGUAUAUGUCCCAUUUAAGGGGAAGAGCUCUAUCAGUUGCGAUUUCUCUAUUCUUAAAGCUCCAACGUAUCUAAUUAAGGGGUGGAGGAAUCCAAUCCACCCUAUCGUACUUCUUGAUGGUCAAUGCACGUACAUAUGUAAUAGCUAAGAAAUUA
Molecule: long non-coding RNA, 427 nt
Filed under: Nicotiana benthamiana
Lineage: Eukaryota; Viridiplantae; Streptophyta; Magnoliopsida; Solanales; Solanaceae
Description: long non-coding RNA (NBEN_LNC020804)
Source: RNAcentral